Molecule: ribosomal RNA, 486 nt
Filed under: uncultured bacterium
Lineage: Bacteria
Description: partial 16S ribosomal RNA
Rfam family: Bacterial small subunit ribosomal RNA
Source: RNAcentral
AUUGAACGCUGGCGGCAUGCCUUACACAUGCAAGUCGAACGGCAGCACGGGUGCUUGCACCUGGUGGCGAGUGGCGAACGGGUGAGUAAUACAUCGGAACAUGUCCUGUAGUGGGGGAUAGCCCGGCGAAAGCCGGAUUAAUACCGCAUACGAUCUACGGAUGAAAGCGGGGGACCUUCGGGCCUCGCGCUAUGGGGUUGGCCGAUGGCUGAUUAGCUAGUUGGUGGGGUAAAGGCCUACCAAGGCGACGACCAGGAGCUAGUCUGAGAGGACGACCAGCCACACUGGGACUGAGACACGGCCCAGGCUCCUACGGGAGGCAGCAGUGGGGAAUUUUGGACAAUGGGCGAAAGCCUGAUCCAGCAAUGCCGCGUGUGUGAAGAAGGCCUUCGGGUUGUAAAGCACUUUUGUCCGGAAAGAAAUCCUUGGCCCUAAUACGGUCGGGGGAUGACGGUACCGGAAGAAUAAGCACCGGCUAACUACGUG